This 507-nucleotide ribosomal RNA is filed under the name uncultured Glomeromycotina. RNAcentral's name for it is "partial small subunit ribosomal RNA". It matches the Rfam family "Eukaryotic small subunit ribosomal RNA", at positions 591 to 1092 of the family's 1831-position model. The record is from RNAcentral. Lineage: Eukaryota; Fungi; Glomeromycota.
CCAUUAGCGUAUAUUAAAGUUGUUGCAGUUAAAAAGCUCGUAGUUGAAUUUCGGGAUUGACGUGAUGGUCAUGCCUUAAGGGGUAUGAACUGUUGCAGUUGAUUUCUCACCUUCUGGAGAAACUUGAUGUCCUUUAUUGGGUGUCUUGCGGAUCCAGGACCUUUACCUUGAAAAAAUUAGAGUGUUUAAAGCAGGCAUUUUUGCUCGAAUACAUUAGCAUGGAAUAAUAGAAUAGGACGGCAUGGUUCUAUUUUGUUGGUUUCUAGGAUCACCGUAAUGAUUAAUAGGGAUAGUUGGGGGCAUUAGUAUUCAAUUGUCAGAGGUGAAAUUCUUGGAUUUAUUGAAGACUAACUACUGCGAAAGCAUUUGCCAAGGAUGUUUUCAUUAAUCAAGAACGAAAGUUAGGGGAUCGAAGACGAUCAGAUACCGUCGUAGUCUUAACCAUAAACUAUGCCGACUAGGAAUCAGACGAUGUUAAUUUUUUAAUGACUCGUUUGGCACCUUACG